This 182-nucleotide ribosomal RNA is filed under the name uncultured Pseudomonas sp. RNAcentral describes it as "partial 16S ribosomal RNA". It matches the Rfam family "Bacterial small subunit ribosomal RNA", at positions 349 to 539 of the family's 1533-position model. Lineage: Bacteria; Pseudomonadati; Pseudomonadota; Gammaproteobacteria; Pseudomonadales; Pseudomonadaceae. The record is from RNAcentral.
CGGGGGAGGGGGAAGCUGAUCAGCCAUGCCGCGUGUGUGAGAGGUCUUCGGAUUGUAAGCACUUUAAGUUGGGAGGAAGGGCAGUUACCUAAUACGUGAUUGUUUUGACGUUACCGACAGAAUAAGCACCGGCUAACUCUGUGCCAGCAGCCGCGGUAAUACGGGAGCCAGCAGCCGCGGUA